Molecule: RNase P RNA, 333 nt
Filed under: Deltaproteobacteria bacterium RIFOXYD2_FULL_66_9
Lineage: Bacteria; Deltaproteobacteria
Description: RNase P RNA component class A
Rfam family: Bacterial RNase P class A
About the family: Ribonuclease P (RNase P) is a ubiquitous endoribonuclease, found in archaea, bacteria and eukarya as well as chloroplasts and mitochondria. Its best characterised activity is the generation of mature 5'-ends of tRNAs by cleaving the 5'-leader elements of precursor-tRNAs.
Source: RNAcentral
CGAGGAGGCCAGGCGGCCGCCGGUCCCCGCGCAGCGCAGGCGGGGACGGGAGGAAAGUCCGGGCUCCGCAGGGCAGGGUGCCGGGUAACACCCGGUGGGGGCGACCCCGAGGACAGCGCCACAGAAAAGACACCGCCUCCCGCCUCGGCGGGCGGUAAGGGUGAAAUGGUGAGGUAAGAGCUCACCGCGCGACGGGCGAUCGUCGCGGCAUGGCAAACCCCACCCGGAGCAAGACCAAAUAGGAGGGCGACUCCGAGGCGGUUUUCGACGCCGGCGGGGGAAGGGCGGCCCGNNNNNNNNNNNNNNNNACCCGGCUUACGGCCUCCUCGGACG